UACGACUACAUAUCAGGCAUAUCAAUAAGCGGAGGAAAAGAAACUAACAAGGAUUCCCUUAGUAACGGCGAGUGAAGCGGGAAGAGCUCAAAUUUGAAAUCUUCAAGGUUUUACCUUGACGAAUUGUAGUUUAAAGAAGUGUUUUCUGUUGAAGUUUUGGUAAAAGUUCUUUGGAAUAGGACAUCAUAGAGGGUGAGAAUCCCGUAUUUGACCAUUAUUUUCAGCUGUGUGAUACACUUUCAAAGAGUCGGAUUGUUUGGGAAUGCAGUCCAAAAUGGGUGGUAAAUUUCAUCUAAAGCUAAAUAUUGGCGAGAGACCGAUAGCGAACAAGUACCGUGAGGGAAAGAUGAAAAGAACUUUGAAAAGAGAGUUAAACAGUACGUGAAAUUGUCAAAAGGGAAGCGUUUGACACCAGUGUUGUUUAGUUGAAAAUCAAUUCAAUAGUUUUCUGAUUCUAAGUAGUAUUGACUUCAUCAGCUUGCUGCUUUCUUCUCAGAAAUUAUUGAAUGCACUUUUCAGUUAACAAGUCAACAUCAAUUUCUUUUGUUGUAAAAGGGUAAGAGGAAGGUGGCUUGCGCUUCGGCUCAAGUGUUUAUAGCCUUUUAUCUCUGCAAUCGGAGAGAUUGAGGUCUGCAGCGUAGAUCCUUCGGGGUUAGAUACAUUGGUGCUAAGCUAUAGCCUUGUAUAGACAACUUGUUGACUAUGCUCAGUCAUGUAGCUUACUCGCUGAUGCUAUUUUACCUACGCUUAGGAUGUUGAGUAGCGACAUACGCAC
Molecule: ribosomal RNA, 775 nt
Filed under: uncultured Neocallimastigales
Lineage: Eukaryota; Fungi; Neocallimastigomycota; Neocallimastigomycetes; Neocallimastigales
Description: partial large subunit ribosomal RNA
Rfam family: Eukaryotic large subunit ribosomal RNA
Source: RNAcentral